This 253-nucleotide ribosomal RNA is filed under the name uncultured bacterium. RNAcentral describes it as "partial 16S ribosomal RNA". It matches the Rfam family "Bacterial small subunit ribosomal RNA", at positions 524 to 776 of the family's 1533-position model. The record is from RNAcentral.
UACGAAGGGGGCGAGCGUUGUUCGGAAUUACUGGGCGUAAAGGGCGCGUAGGCGGCCGAUCAAGUCAGAUGUGAAAGUCCUGGGCUUAACCUGGGGACUGCAUUUGAUACUGAUUGGCUUGAAUUCGGGAGAGGAUAGCGGAAUUCCCAGUGUAGAGGUGAAAUUCGUAGAUAUUCGGAAGAACACCAGUGGCGAAGGCGACUCGCUGGACAGACAUUGACGCUGAGGUGCGAAAGCGUGGGGAGCAAACAGG